RNAcentral lists this transfer RNA (89 nucleotides) under Candidatus Omnitrophota bacterium. Its description in RNAcentral is "Candidatus Omnitrophica bacterium tRNA-Ser". It matches the Rfam family "tRNA". From Rfam's summary of the family: Transfer RNA (tRNA) molecules are approximately 80 nucleotides in length. Their secondary structure includes four short double-helical elements and three loops (D, anti-codon, and T loops). Lineage: Bacteria; Pseudomonadati; Candidatus Omnitrophota. The record is from RNAcentral.
GGAGGCGUGGCAGAGUGGUUGAAUGCGGCGGUCUUGAAAACCGUUAGGCAUCGUAAGGUGCCUCGAGGGUUCAAAUCCUUCCGCCUCCG